RNAcentral lists this ribosomal RNA (360 nucleotides) under uncultured bacterium. Its description in RNAcentral is "bacterial SSU rRNA". It matches the Rfam family "Bacterial small subunit ribosomal RNA", at positions 29 to 404 of the family's 1533-position model. The record is from RNAcentral.
AAUGAACGUUGGCGGCGUGGAUUAGGCAUGCAAGUCGAGCGGAAAGGCCCGCAAGGGCACUCGAGCGGCGUAAGGGACAGUAAUGUGUAGGUAACGUACCCCUGGGUCUAGGAUAGCUGCGGGAAACUGCAAUUAAUACUAGAUAACGUCUCCGGACCAAAGGUGUGAUUCCACCUGGGGAGCGGCCUACAUCCUAUUAGCUAGUUGGCGAGGUAAUGGCUCACCAAGGCGAAGAUGGGUAGCAGGUGUGAGAGCACGACCUGCGUCACUGGGACUGAGACACUGCCCAGACACCUACGGGUGGCUGCAGUCGAGAAUCUUCGGCAAUGGGCGAAAGCCUGACCGAGCGACGCCGCGUGU